GGGGAAUAUUGGACAAUGGGCGCAAGCCUGUUCCAGCAAUGCCGCGUGUGUGAAGAAGGCCUUCGGGUUGUAAAGCACUUUUAUCUGGAGCGAAAUCUGCAGGGCUAAUACCCAUGCAGUCUGACGGUACCAGAGGAAUAAGCACCGGCUAACUUCGUGCCAGCAGCCGCGGUAAUACGAAGGGUGCAAGCGUUACUCGGAAUUACUGGGCGUAAAGCGUGAGUAGGUGGUUUCUUAAGUCUGCUGUGAAAGCCCCGGGCUCAACCUGGGAACUGCAUUUGUGACUGCAUAGCUGGAGUGCGGCAGAGGGGGAUGGAAUUCCGCGUGUAGCAGUGAAAUGCGUAGAGAUCGGGAGGAACACCAGUGGCGAAGGCGGCUACCUGGACCAGCACUGACACUGAGUCACGAAAGCGUGGGGAGCAAACA
This 426-nucleotide ribosomal RNA is filed under the name uncultured bacterium. RNAcentral describes it as "bacterial SSU rRNA". It matches the Rfam family "Bacterial small subunit ribosomal RNA", at positions 356 to 774 of the family's 1533-position model. The record is from RNAcentral.